CAGUAGCCGCGGUAAUACGUAGGUGGCAAGCGUCGUCCGGAAUUAUUGGGCGUAAAGGGCUCGCAGGCGGUUUCUUAAGUCUGAUGUGAAAGCCCCCGGCUCAACCGGGGAGGGCCAUUGGAAACUGGGAAACUUGAGUGCAGAAGAGGAGAGUGGAAUUCCACGUGUAGCAGUGAAAUGCGUAGAGAUGUGGAGGAACACCAGUGGCGAAGGCGACUCUCUGGUCUGUAACUGACGCUGAGGAGCGAAAGCGUGGGGAGCGAACAGGAUUAGAUACCCCUGUAGUCCCUGUCUCUUAUAC
RNAcentral lists this ribosomal RNA (301 nucleotides) under uncultured bacterium. Its description in RNAcentral is "partial 16S ribosomal RNA". It matches the Rfam family "Bacterial small subunit ribosomal RNA", at positions 509 to 807 of the family's 1533-position model. The record is from RNAcentral.